CUCAUCUCUUUCUUCCUUUCUCCCACAUUCCUUUCACAAUCAUACAACUUAUUCUUUUUCUUCCUCAAGCUCUCAACGGCAACUUCAAUCUUCAAUCUUAGAUCCAAACAGUUCUGGGGUUAUGGUUUAGAAAGGUUUGUACUCUGUAUAUAUUUUCUAUGUAUUUCUGGGCGGUGUAGUUGUAUACUUUUUUGUCUUGGUUUAGGCU
RNAcentral lists this long non-coding RNA (208 nucleotides) under Capsicum annuum. Its description in RNAcentral is "long non-coding RNA (CANN_LNC010241)". Lineage: Eukaryota; Viridiplantae; Streptophyta; Magnoliopsida; Solanales; Solanaceae. The record is from RNAcentral.